RNAcentral lists this ribosomal RNA (1114 nucleotides) under Micrococcus sp. RNAcentral's name for it is "bacterial SSU rRNA". It matches the Rfam family "Bacterial small subunit ribosomal RNA", at positions 383 to 1499 of the family's 1533-position model. Lineage: Bacteria; Bacillati; Actinomycetota; Actinomycetes; Micrococcales; Micrococcaceae. The record is from RNAcentral.
CUGAUGCAGCGACGCCGCGUGAGGGAUGACGGCCUUCGGGUUGUAAACCUCUUUCAGUAGGGAAGAAGCGAAAGUGACGGUACCUGCAGAAGAAGCACCGGCUAACUACGUGCCAGCAGCCGCGGUAAUACGUAGGGUGCGAGCGUUAUCCGGAAUUAUUGGGCGUAAAGAGCUCGUAGGCGGUUUGUCGCGUCUGUCGUGAAAGUCCGGGGCUUAACCCCGGAUCUGCGGUGGGUACGGGCAGACUAGAGUGCAGUAGGGGAGACUGGAAUUCCUGGUGUAGCGGUGGAAUGCGCAGAUAUCAGGAGGAACACCGAUGGCGAAGGCAGGUCUCUGGGCUGUAACUGACGCUGAGGAGCGAAAGCAUGGGGAGCGAACAGGAUUAGAUACCCUGGUAGUCCAUGCCGUAAACGUUGGGCACUAGGUGUGGGGACCAUUCCACGGUUUCCGCGCCGCAGCUAACGCAUUAAGUGCCCCGCCUGGGGAGUACGGCCGCAAGGCUAAAACUCAAAGGAAUUGACGGGGGCCCGCACAAGCGGCGGAGCAUGCGGAUUAAUUCGAUGCAACGCGAAGAACCUUACCAAGGCUUGACAUGUUCUCGAUCGCCGUAGAGAUACGGUUUCCCCUUUGGGGCGGGAUCACAGGUGGUGCAUGGGUGCAUGGUUGUCGUCAGCUCGUGUCGUGAGAUGUUGGGUUAAGUCCCGCAACGAGCGCAACCCUCGUUCCAUGUUGCCAGCACGUAAUGGUGGGGACUCAUGGGAGACUGCCGGGGUCAACUCGGAGGAAGGUGGGGACGACGUCAAAUCAUCAUGCCCCUUAUGUCUUGGGCUUCACGCAUGCUACAAUGGCCGGUACAAUGGGUUGCGAUACUGUGAGGUGGAGCUAAUCCCAAAAAGCCGGUCUCAGUUCGGAUUGGGGUCUGCAACUCGACCCCAUGAAGUCGGAGUCGCUAGUAAUCGCAGAUCAGCAACGCUGCGGUGAAUACGUUCCCGGGCCUUGUACACACCGCCCGUCAAGUCACGAAAGUCGGUAACACCCGAAGCCGGUGGCCUAACCCUUGUGGGGGGAGCUGUCGAAGGUGGGACCAGCGAUUGGACUAAGUCGAUCAAGAGCA